This is a long non-coding RNA of Quercus lobata, 614 nucleotides long. RefSeq lists it as uncharacterized. NCBI's taxonomy places the organism in Eukaryota, Viridiplantae, Streptophyta, Magnoliopsida, Fagales, Fagaceae. The record is from RefSeq and is a predicted model, not a curated record. The transcript is spliced from 3 exons.
AAAGUUGCGUUUUGAACUUUUAUAAAAAACUGAAGACAAAACGCACAACGAAAAUGGACCCUCAGCGGUCCAUAAAUCAAAACGCGCUAUGCGCGUUUUGUUAUAUUACCGUUGCAAUCAUUGAAAGACCGAAAUACCCACACGUUUGACGCCCCUCAUCUCUCAUCUCUGCUCUCCCUUCGCAUUUGACACCUCCAUCUCUUCUCUCUGCCUUGCUCUGCCUUCGUACCAAAAACACUGAUCUGCUACCAAAAACCAGUUUAGAGCAGAUUAUGGCAACCAAUGGAGUGGGGCAUACUAUGGAGGGCAGCUUUAUGAUGGUUAUGGAUAUGCUUUGCCACCACCUUAUGACCCAAGCAUGUAUGCUGCACCAUUUGCUGCAUAUGGAGCUUACCCCAUUUAUGGAAACCAACAACAAGUGAGCUGAAGGAAUUGCACGAGUAGUUCUAGAAAUUAGACAAUAUCACGCUUAACUGGGCGAAAUUUCUUCAUUUCUCUGUAAGUUGAGUGGUUCUGUAGAAUUCUUAAGAAAAUCCCUCCAAAUGUGGAGUGGAACUGAAUUUUGACAGACUGAACUAAUUUUGUAGGGAUUUGACUAAUGAUUUAUUUACAAA